AUUGAACGCUGGCGGCAGGCUUAACACAUGCAAGUCGAACGAGUGGCGGACGGGUGAGUAAUGCUUGGGAAUCUAGCUUAUGGAGGGGGCUAACUACGGGAAACUGUAGCUAAUACCGCGUACCAUAGGAUGAGCCCAAGUGGGAUUAGGUAGUUGGUGGGGUAAAGGCUCACCAAGCCGACGAUCUCUAGCUGGUCUGAGAGGAUGACCAGCCACACUGGGACUGAGACACGGCCCAGACUCCUACGGGAGGCAGCAGUGGGGAAUAUUGCGCAAUGGGGGCAACCUGACGCAGCCAUGCCGCGUGAAUGAAGAAGGCCUUCGGGUUGUAAAGGACUUUUGUCAGGAAGACGGUACCUGAAGAAUAAGCACCGGCUAACUACGUGCCAGCAGCCGCGGUAAUAC
RNAcentral lists this ribosomal RNA (405 nucleotides) under uncultured bacterium. RNAcentral's name for it is "partial 16S ribosomal RNA". It matches the Rfam family "Bacterial small subunit ribosomal RNA", at positions 30 to 526 of the family's 1533-position model. The record is from RNAcentral.